Molecule: ribosomal RNA, 484 nt
Filed under: uncultured bacterium
Lineage: Bacteria
Description: partial 16S ribosomal RNA
Rfam family: Bacterial small subunit ribosomal RNA
Source: RNAcentral
AUUGAACGCUGGCGGCAGGCCUAACACAUGCAAGUCGAGCGGAUGAAGGGAGCUUGCUCCUGGAUUCAGCGGCGGACGGGUGAGUCAUGCCUAGGAAUCUGCCUGGUCGUGGGGGAUAACGUCCGGAAACGGGCGCUAAUACCGCAUCCGUCCUGAGGGAGAAAGUGGGGGAUCUUCGGACAUCACGCUAUUAGAUGAGCCUAGGUCGGAUUAGCUAGUUGGUGGGGUAAAGGCCUACCAAGGCGACGAUCCGUAACUGGUCUUAGAGGAUGAUCAGUCACACUGGAACUGAGACACGUUCCAGACUCCUACGGGAGGCAGCAGUGGGGAAUAUUGGACAAUGGGCGAAAGCCUGAUCCAGCCAUGCCGCGUGUGUGAAGAAGGUCUUCGGAUGGUAAAGCUCUUUAAGUUGGGAGGAAGGGCAGUAAGUUAAUACCUGGCUGUUUUGACGUUACCAACAGAAUAAGCACCGGCUAACUUCGUG